This 537-nucleotide long non-coding RNA is filed under the name Vigna radiata. RNAcentral describes it as "long non-coding RNA (VRAD_LNC004500)". Lineage: Eukaryota; Viridiplantae; Streptophyta; Magnoliopsida; Fabales; Fabaceae. The record is from RNAcentral.
CAUAUCUCGCGAACCCUAAUUUGGGUGGGAAGGGGACUACCUCUUGGUAGUCCCUCAUUAGCCAAGCUUGCAACGCAAGGGUGUUGCUCCCUCCACCACCACCCCUUGCUCCCUCCACCUCCCCAACCCUUACAAAAUUAUUUUAAUUACAAAAGUAGCAUUUUUUAAUUUUAACAUUAUUUAUUUACUUUAUUCUGAAACUCUAAAUUCCUUCCCAUUUUUACUCAUCUAUUUUUACUCGCGCAGUCCCACCCCUACUCUCCCAAGUUUCACUUUAUCUCUUUCCAGAUUCCCACUCCCUCAAACUCUCACCAGAUCCGUUUCUUCUCAUCUCCCAACUCUUACUUCUCUUCUCCAUAUCCGUUUGGUUUUGUGGUGCGGUGGUGUGACUUUUUGUGGUGCGACGGUGCGGGGUGUUUACGGUGGUCAUUCGGCGAUACAACGGUUCCAAACGAUAAUGAAUAUUUUAUGACUAACAAUAAUGAAUAUUUUAUAACUAACAUCAUAAAAAAAUAAUUCUAUUGACAUUGAUAAAAA